This 305-nucleotide ribosomal RNA is filed under the name uncultured bacterium. Its description in RNAcentral is "partial 16S ribosomal RNA". It matches the Rfam family "Bacterial small subunit ribosomal RNA", at positions 505 to 807 of the family's 1533-position model. The record is from RNAcentral.
ACAGCAGUCGCCACGGUAAUACAGAGGGUGCGAGCGUUAAUCGGAUUUACUGGGCGUAAAGCGUGCGUAGGCGGCUUUUUAAGUCGGAUGUGAAAUCCCUGAGCUUAACUUAGGAAUUGCAUUCGAUACUGGGAAGCUAGAGUAUGGGAGAGGAUGGUAGAAUUCCAGGUGUAGCGGUGAAAUGCGUAGAGAUCUGGAGGAAUACCGAUGGCGAAGGCAGCCAUCUGGCCUAAUACUGACGCUGAGGUACGAAAGCAUGGGGAGCAAACAGGAUUAGAUACCCGAGUAGUCCCUGUCUCUUAUAC